UGGAUUGGGAGGAAGGUUUGGAUAAAGAAUGUAGGGAUGAUAAGGGACCAGAUAGGGAGGUAAACAGGACAUGCAAGGUUUUGCCAUGUGACAAGCAGAUCCCUAGGUGAGCAUUCCCUGUGGAAUGCCAGGUAAGUUUCCUGCUCUACAUCAUACAUAAUCCACACAAAGCACAAGCCAAAGGCAGGGGAAUACUGUGGGCUUAAACCAGAAAUCCUAAUGAAGUAGGGUGUGGAGCUAUGCUGUGUGAGGCCUACUCUGACCACUGGGGUGGUCACCACACAGGGUUCCACUGUCCCCGCCUCUCUGACCCCCCUGACCUGUCCUUCUGUUGCUGGCUGGGAGAGGGUCUGGGGCUCAAACAGUGCUGCCCACGUUCCCAGUACCACAAUAGCAUGAACAGCAGUCAGACAGGGACCAGAGUGAACUCCAAAGAACCUGUUUACAGCUACAGGUCCCUGUUCCAGACUGUGGUUCUGCUCUAUGGGUCCUUGGUACUGGUCCUGAUGCUUGUGGACUUCCUAUGGUUCUGUCGUGCGCGGGGUCUUUCAGUAACGGCAGCUCUUACGAGGCAUGUCACGUGUCCCCAUUGGAUCUCUAGCCUCCUCUUCCCGUACAGCAACAAGACACAGCAGCAGCUCCACUGCUACCAUGGCAAUGGGAGGGACUCACAAGUCCUAGGUGAGCACAAGAUCCCUCAAGACUCCUCUUGUCUCUAAGGUAACAGAGGACACCGACAACAGUGAGGCAAUUUGGCAGACCCAUUAAAGACUGAGAGUGUCCUAGGGGAGAAAUGUCCAUGCCAAGUUCUACAUUUGAGCAUUUGAAUCCCUUGAUGACCAUCAAUUUAAAACAACAAAAAACUGGAUAACACACAUACACUAUGGCAUAACGGGGUGUUUUCGUGCAUAUGGAUCACACCAGAGUAUAUAGGGAUCAUGAGUGAUCAUAAGAUAUCUUAUGGUUUUGCUCGUAUAUUUCCAAUGUGUAUAGUUUUAAUAGGUACAUUUAUUCCCAUCAGCACCAUAUUUAUUAGGAUAUACAGUGAAUCAGUAAACUACUUUGUCUCUAUACUGAGCAAGAGGGCUCAUACCUAAUGCCCUGCAUUGGGUGUCUACUUCAGGUAAAUGUAUGGAACAUUAGAUGAUACUGUAUGAUAUCUAUGGUCUGUCUUUUGUCAUCCUUAUCAUAAUGAAAUACAAUGCUUUAUACUAAAUAAAAGUUAACAUUGCAGCUCUA
Oncorhynchus nerka (sockeye salmon) is the source of this 1239-nucleotide long non-coding RNA. RefSeq lists it as uncharacterized. The transcript has 3 exons. The record is from RefSeq and is a predicted model, not a curated record. NCBI's taxonomy places the organism in Eukaryota, Metazoa, Chordata, Actinopteri, Salmoniformes, Salmonidae.